GAUGAACGCUGACAGAAUGCUUAACACAUGCAAGUCAUUGGCGAAGCUGCGCUUGCGCAGUCUAGCCAAGGCGGACGGGUGAGUAACGCGUAAGGAACUUGCCCUGCAGACAGGGAUAACAGACGGAAACGACUGAUAACACCUGGUAUUGUCAGGCUGGCGCAUGCCGGCCUGAUGAAAGGAGACGCUGCAGGAGAGCCUUGCGUCCUAUUAGCUAGUUGGUGGGGUAACGGCCCACCAAGGCGAUGAUAGGUAGCCGGCCUGAGAGGGUGAACGGCCACAAGGGGACUGAGAUACGGCCGUUACCCAUACGGGAGGCAGCAGUGGGGAAUAUUGGACAAGGGGGGCAACCCUGAUCCAGCAAUUCUGUGUGCACGAAGAAGGUUUUCGGAUUGUAAAGUGCUUUCAGCAGGGAAGAAGAAAGUGACGGUACCUGCAGAAGAAGCGACGGCUAACUACGUG
Molecule: ribosomal RNA, 462 nt
Filed under: uncultured bacterium
Lineage: Bacteria
Description: partial 16S ribosomal RNA
Rfam family: Bacterial small subunit ribosomal RNA
Source: RNAcentral